GUGCCAGCAGCCGCGGUAAUACGUAUGUUCCAAGCGUUAUCCGGAUUUAUUGGGCGUAAAGUGAGCGCAGACGGUUAUUUAAGUCUGAAGUGAAAGCCCUCAGCUCAACUGAGGAAUGGCUUUGGAAACUGGAUGACUUGAGUGCAGUAGAGGAAAGUGGAACUCCAUGUGUAGCGGUGAAAUGCGUAGAUAUAUGGAAGAACACCAGUGGCGAAGGCGGCUUUCUGGACUGUAACUGACGUUGAGGCUCGAAAGUGUGGGUAGCAAACAGGAUUAGAUACCCUGGUAGUCCACACCGUAAACGAUGAGUGCUAGAUGUUUGAGGGUUUCCGCCCUUUGAGUGUCGCAGCUAACGCAUUAAGCACUCCGCCUGGGGAGUACGACCGCAAGGUUGAAACUCAAAGGAUUGACGGGACCCGCACAAGCGGUGGAGCAUGUGGUUAAUUCGAAGCAACGU
RNAcentral lists this ribosomal RNA (457 nucleotides) under uncultured Weissella sp. RNAcentral describes it as "bacterial SSU rRNA". It matches the Rfam family "Bacterial small subunit ribosomal RNA", at positions 505 to 962 of the family's 1533-position model. Lineage: Bacteria; Bacillati; Bacillota; Bacilli; Lactobacillales; Lactobacillaceae. The record is from RNAcentral.